AACUCACCAGGUCAGGACACGGUAAGGAUUGACGGACUGAAGGCUCUUUCUCGAUUCCGUGGAAAGUGGUGCAUGGCCGUUUUGGUUGGUGGAUCGAUCCGUCUGGUUAAUUCCGUUAACGAACGAGACCUCGGCACUCCGAAUAGCGCGGCGGACGUCGCGGCCUCCGGGCCGUCUUCCGCACGAGCUUCUUAGAGGGACCGUCCCCCGCCGGGGAAGGAGGUGCGAGGCAACGACAGGUCUGUGAUGCCCCUUAGAUGUUCUGGGCCGCACGCGCAUUACACUGACGCGUCCAACGGGUGACUCCCGACCCGAAGGGGCCGGGGAAUCCGCAAGGCGCGUCGUGAUGGGGAUUGAACGUUGCAAUUGUUGUUCACGAACGAGGAAUUCCUAGUAGGCGCGGGUCAUCAACCCGCGCCGAUUACGUCCCUGCC
Molecule: ribosomal RNA, 434 nt
Filed under: uncultured eukaryote
Lineage: Eukaryota
Description: bacterial SSU rRNA
Rfam family: Eukaryotic small subunit ribosomal RNA
Source: RNAcentral